This 465-nucleotide ribosomal RNA is filed under the name uncultured bacterium. RNAcentral describes it as "partial 16S ribosomal RNA". It matches the Rfam family "Bacterial small subunit ribosomal RNA", at positions 338 to 795 of the family's 1533-position model. The record is from RNAcentral.
CCUACGGGUGGCAGCAGUAGGGAAUUUUCGUCAAUGGGCGCAAGCCUGAACGAGCAAUGCCGCGUGAACGAGGAAGGUCUUCGGAUCGUAAAGUUCUGUUGAAGGGGAAAAAGAGCGGAGAGAGGAAAUGAACUCCGAUUGAUAUUACCCUUCGAGGAAGUCACGGCUAACUACGUGCCAGCAGCCGCGGUAAUACGUAGGUGGCGAGCGUUAUCCGGAAUGAUUGGGCGUAAAGGGUGCGUAGGCGGCCUGUUAAGUCUGGAGUGAAAGGUACCGGCUCAACCGGUACAGGCUCUGGAAACUGGCGGGCUAGAGAGCAGGAUAGGGCGGUGGAACGCCAUGUGUAGCGGUAAAAUGCGUAGAUAUAUGGAAGAACACCAGUGGCGAAGGCGGCCGCCUGGCCUGUUGACUGACGUUGAGGCACGAAAGCGUGGGGAGCAAAUAGGAUUAGAUACCCCGGUAGUC